UACGUAGGGGGCCAGCGUUGUCCGGAAUCAUUGGGCGUAAAGCGCGCGUAGGCGGCCAGAUAAGUCCGGUGUGAAAGUCAAAGGCUCAACCUUUGAAUGUCAGCGGAUACUGCCGGGCUAGAGUCCGGAAGAGGCGAGUGGAACUCCUGGUGUAGCGGUGGAAUGCGCAGAUAUCAGGAGGAACACCGGUGGCGAAGGCGGAUCUCUGGGCCUGUCCUGACGCUGAGGCGCGAAAGCUAGGGGAGCGAACAGG
This 253-nucleotide ribosomal RNA is filed under the name uncultured bacterium. Its description in RNAcentral is "partial 16S ribosomal RNA". It matches the Rfam family "Bacterial small subunit ribosomal RNA", at positions 524 to 776 of the family's 1533-position model. The record is from RNAcentral.